GACAGCUUUCUCUUCAAGAUGGAAGAUAAGGAGAAGAGUUCUGUCUGUCUCCUGGUCUCUAGAGCCACUCAAAACCUCUGUCCCCACCACCAGUACUUGGAGAUGUCCCACUUCUAGGCAUGACUUUAAGGAAGUUUCAUCUCUUGGUGCCGGGUUGUAAAUGCAAAAACGGGGGUCAGACAGAAUCAGCAAGCAUGCCCAUUUCCAUGGAAAGGCUGAAAUGUGGGUCAAUUCCAGGGUUAGCUAUGUAAUUCUACAAAUGGGUCCAUUUUGAUCUCUGUGCAGUUGGAUAAAUCUGGUACCCAAGCAAUUCUCAUGGUCGACUAAACUGAAAGAUCCCACAGAAUUUUUAGCAAUGGUGUUUUUAGAGCAUGUAAGAAUGGAUUUCUAUUGGCUCAACAAAUAGGAAUUUUAAGCCAACAACUUAAAUUCCUAGUACAAUUCUCUACUUACAGAUAUUAAGGACAAAUUUUACAAGUCUGGAAAACAAAUCAGAAAUGAGGCACAGCAAAAAUCAUUUUUACUGACAAAGUACAGAGUGAGUCCCAGCGGGAGGAGAACCUUUCCCUCCCUAGUGUCAUGCUUUUUGCUGAUAAUUUGUUCUCAUUCCUUAAUCCCAGCAAGCAUUCUAAAACCCAAGAAAAGGUUUACCACGGGAGGUUUCCCAGGCACUGGAGGUAAUGUGCUAACUGAAGCUCUAGAAAUAGAAAUAAGCUGAGGACAUGUGUUACCCAAUCUAAUUUAGCCAAAAGCUAGUUGGAGAACUGAUCUGAAAUGAAGAGACAUGCUAGAGGUGAUUAUUAAAAGGUAGAGUUCCUUAACAUUUGAAUUCUUAGAUGGUUGAUAUAACCAGCUAGAUGGAAGUGAGUUAUCAGACUUAAGCUUAGUAGCAACAGUGUUUCAGUCAAGUAAAUAUCACAAUGCUUUAUAAAUAUGAAAUUGGUCAACUAUGUAUUUCUAAUUAGUCAUAUUUGUUAUCGUCAGUAAUGGAAGGACUAAAUAUAAAAAUGUGCACCCAAAAGGAAUAGGACAAGACAAAUUGGUCCCAGGAAUAAUAGCAGAGGCUUUCCAAAGUCUACUGCACAGAAAUAUCCACUCGAAUCCACUGCAUCUUUACUAAUCUAAAAGUGACAAGAUCAGACAUGUAAGUGAUUCAAGACCUCUCCUUGCCUGUCCUUUACACAGAAUGGUUACAUCAGUUGCAGCCCCCCAAAACAACAGAUUAAAUCCAGACCAACAGGUUGGUAAAAUUGGCUAAAAGAAAAGAAAAAAGCUACUGGAGGAAGAUGAAAAGCAAGCAGUUUGCUGACGUAUCGGACAGAAUCUGCAAAGGAGGUAAAUACCUACCGGGAACUAGAGAAAAGAGGAAGGCGGCCUUCAGAAGAAGUCCUUGCGACAUGCUGAGUAGUGAUCGGUCCCAGGAGGCAGGAGCCUGCCCUUCUCACUGCUGUGUGGUCCGUCCCUGCCUCCUCUCAAGCGAGACAGAAUGAAACUCCCAGGUGAAUUUUGUCUGCUUCAGUGAGUGUUUACCAAAGGUGUUGCGCAAUCAUUAAGCUGUGGUCCUGCCACAAUAGCAAGGCGGGCGGAAGUCCUGGCUGCCUCCUAGCUCAAAGAUUCCUUCGGAAUAAGCUGCUGCUUCUUGUUCCUUCUUCCACAUAUUCUCCACUCAAAAACUGCAUUUCCAAUCUAUUACUAUAGCCCGAUGAGCUGCCAUGAGGUAACAGCCUUGAUGUACUUUGAUAAAUGUGUGUAUUUAUUAUGUUCAUAAUAAAUACAUAAAUAUGUAUUGCAUA
Manis pentadactyla (Chinese pangolin) is the source of this 1793-nucleotide long non-coding RNA. RefSeq lists it as uncharacterized. Lineage: Eukaryota; Metazoa; Chordata; Mammalia; Pholidota; Manidae. The record is from RefSeq and is a predicted model, not a curated record. The transcript is spliced from 2 exons.